AAACGAUGUCUACUAGUUGUCGGGUUUUAAUUAACUUGGUAACGCAGCUAACGCCGUGAAGUAGACCGCCUGGGGAGUACGGUCGCAAGAUUAAAAACUCAAAGGAAUUAACGGGGACCCGCACAAGCGGUGGAUGAUGUGGAUUAAUUCGAUGCAACGCGAAAAACCUUACCUACCCUUGACAUGUACGGAAGACCGAAGAGAUUUGGUUGUGCUCGAAAGAGAACCGUAACACAGGUGCUGCAUGGCUGUCGUCAGCUCGUGUCGUGAGAUGUUGGGUUAAGUCCCGCAACGAGCGCAACCCUUGUCAUUAGUUGCUACGAAAGGGCACUCUAAUGAGACUGCCGGUGACAAACCGGAGGAAGGUGGGGAUGACGUCAAGUCCUCAUGGCCCUUAUGGGUAGGGCUUCACACGUCAUACAAUGGUACAUACAGAGCGCCGCCAACCCGCCGAGGGGGAGCUAAUCGCAGAAAGUGUAUCGUAGUCCGGAUUGUAGUCUGCAACUCGACUACAUGAAGUUGGAAUCGCUAGUAAUCGCGGAUCAGCAUGUCGCGGUGAAUACGUUCCCGGGUCUUGUACACACCGCCCGUCACACCAUGGGAGCGGGUUUUACCAGAAGUAGGUAGCUUAACCGCCAAGGAGGGCGCUUACCACGGUAGGAUUCGUGANCUGGGGUGAAGUCGUAACCAAGGUACC
This 697-nucleotide ribosomal RNA is filed under the name uncultured bacterium. RNAcentral's name for it is "bacterial SSU rRNA". It matches the Rfam family "Bacterial small subunit ribosomal RNA", at positions 804 to 1500 of the family's 1533-position model. The record is from RNAcentral.